Molecule: ribosomal RNA, 441 nt
Filed under: uncultured bacterium
Lineage: Bacteria
Description: partial 16S ribosomal RNA
Source: RNAcentral
GACUACUGGGGUAUCUAAUCCCGUUCGCUCCCCACGCUUUCGCUCCUCAGUGUCAGGUAAUGUCCAGAGGACUGUCUUCACCAUUGGCGUUCCUUACAAUAUCUACGCAUUUCACUGCUACACUGUAAGUUCCAUCCUCCCCUACAUACCUCUAGAUUUCCAGUUUUGGAUACAGUUUCCCGAUUGAGUCGGGAUAUUUAAUAUCCAACUUAAAAACCCACCUACGAGCUCUUUACGCCCAAUAAAUCCGGAUAACGUUUGCACCCUACGUAUUACCGCGGCUGCUGGCACGUAGUUAGCCGGUGCUUAUUCAUCUGGUACCUUCAAGAUUAUUCCCAGAUAAAAGAAGUUUACGAUCCGAAAACCUUCAUCCUUCACGCAGUGUUGCUGCAUCAGACUUUCGUCCAUUGUGCAAAAUUCCCCACUGCUGCCUCCCGUAGG